ACCAACAGGGAUUACCUCAGUAACGGCGAGUGAAGCGGUAACAGCUCAAAUUUGAAAGCUAGCUCUUUUAGAGUUCGCAUUGUAAUUUGUAGAAGAUGCUUCGGGUGUGGCCCCGGUCUAAGUUCCUUGGAACAGGACGUCAUAGAGGGUGAGAAUCCCGUAUGUGACUGGGUGCUUUCGCUCAUGUGAAGCUCUUUCGACGAGUCGAGUUGUUUGGGAAUGCAGCUCAAAAUGGGUGGUAAAUUUCAUCUAAAGCUAAAUAUUGGCCAGAGACCGAUAGCGCACAAGUAGAGUGAUCGAAAGAUGAAAAGCACUUUGGAAAGAGAGUUAAACAGUACGUGAAAUUGUUGAAAGGGAAGCGCUUGCAACCAGACUUGCGCGCUGAUGAUCAUCCGGGCUUCUGCCCGGUGCACUCGUCUGCGCUCAGGCCAGCAUCGGUUUCGGUGGUGGGAUAAAGGCCUUGGGAAUGUAGCUUCUUUCGGGGAGUGUUAUAGCCCUCGGUGCAAUGCCGCCUACCGGGACCGAGGACCGCGCUUCGGCUAGGAUGCUGGCGUAAUGGUUGUAAGCGACCCGUCUUGAAACACGGACCAAGGAGUCUAACAUCUAUGCGAGUGUUUGGGUGUCAAACCCAUACGCGUAAUGAAAGUGAACGGAGGUGAGAACCCUUAAGGGUGCAUCAUCGACCGAUCCUGAUGUCUUCGGAUGGAUUUGAGUAAGAGCAUAGCUGUUGGGACCCGAAAGAUGGUGAACUAUGCGUGAAUAGGGUGAAGCCAGAGGAAACUCUGGUGGAGGCUCGCAGCGGUUCUGACGUGCAAAUCGAUCGUCAAAUUUGCGUAUAGGGCGAAAGACUAAUCGAACCAUCU
Molecule: ribosomal RNA, 863 nt
Filed under: Helotiales sp. Di255-1
Lineage: Eukaryota; Fungi; Ascomycota; Leotiomycetes; Helotiales
Description: eukaryotic LSU rRNA
Rfam family: Eukaryotic large subunit ribosomal RNA
Source: RNAcentral